GUGCCUGUAGCUUAACAGGAUAGAGCACCGUGCUACGGACGCGGAGGUUGUGGGUUCAAGUCCUACCUGGCAU
RNAcentral lists this transfer RNA (73 nucleotides) under Chromochloris zofingiensis. RNAcentral describes it as "tRNA-Arg". It matches the Rfam family "tRNA". Rfam says of the family: Transfer RNA (tRNA) molecules are approximately 80 nucleotides in length. Lineage: Eukaryota; Viridiplantae; Chlorophyta; Chlorophyceae; Sphaeropleales; Chromochloridaceae. The record is from RNAcentral.